CGGGGCGUAGCGCAGCCUGGUAGCGCAUCAUACUGGGGGUGUGGAGGUCGCUGGUUCGAAUCCAGUCGCCCCGA
Molecule: transfer RNA, 74 nt
Filed under: Parasphingopyxis lamellibrachiae
Lineage: Bacteria; Pseudomonadati; Pseudomonadota; Alphaproteobacteria; Sphingomonadales; Parasphingopyxidaceae
Description: Sphingopyxis sp. JAMH 0132 tRNA
Rfam family: tRNA
About the family: Transfer RNA (tRNA) molecules are approximately 80 nucleotides in length. Their secondary structure includes four short double-helical elements and three loops (D, anti-codon, and T loops).
Source: Rfam by way of RNAcentral